This 629-nucleotide unclassified non-coding RNA is filed under the name Hevea brasiliensis (rubber tree). Lineage: Eukaryota; Viridiplantae; Streptophyta; Magnoliopsida; Malpighiales; Euphorbiaceae. The record is from RNAcentral.
CAACUUGUUCUUUCCAACAACGCCGAGAUGACGAUACACAAAAAGUUAUCUUCACAACCAAGCAAAAACGGUUAACGUAAGUUUGUUCACAGAGAGCUGUAUUCCAGCAAACACUUCCAAAACAAACAUGUUUUCCAAGAGCAUCUUAAUUAAGUUCAGAACUGUACAUAAUUUCACCAACAAAGAUGCAGCUCAACAUCAUAGGUUUCACAUUGAUAGCUAAAAGCUUCUACACAGAGUCUCUGCUCUGCUUCAUAAGGACUCAAGAGCAACAUCUGGAGUCACUUCACCAUCUUCCUCAGAAGAAGAAAGAGCUUCUGAUCAAGCUUAAACUUCUGUGUCUUGAGGGCAUCACUUUUCAGCAUCAGCUGGAGUCCUCCGAAGGAGACAUAAACCACCACUUUUUUGUCAGCUCCUGAUCCCUCCAUUGAAACCUUAUAUACCAGCCCAUGCACGAUGUAUUCAAAUUUAUCAAGAAGAGAUUUUCCCUCAGGAGGAUAGCUAGUGACAGCCGACCCUUCCAUUAGUGUCGUUGAUAUAACCAUCCUGUACAACUCUUUUCGCUUCAUGGGAUAUAGUUCUGAGUUGAUAUCUAGCUGGAUUGAUGUCGCACCAUCACUACUUUCUGC